RNAcentral lists this ribosomal RNA (443 nucleotides) under uncultured bacterium. Its description in RNAcentral is "partial 16S ribosomal RNA". It matches the Rfam family "Bacterial small subunit ribosomal RNA", at positions 338 to 795 of the family's 1533-position model. The record is from RNAcentral.
CCUACGGGUGGCAGCAGUGAGGAAUAUUGGUCAAUGGGCGCAAGCCUGACCCAGCAACGCCGCGUGAAGGAAGAAGGCUUUCGGGUUGUAAACUUCUUUUCUCAGGGACGAAGCAAGUGACGGUACCUGAGGAAUAAGCCACGGCUAACUACGUGCCAGCAGCCGCGGUAAUACGUAGGUGGCAAGCGUUAUCCGGAUUUACUGGGUGUAAAGGGCGUGUAGGCGGGACUGCAAGUCAGAUGUGAAAACCACGGGCUCAACCUGUGGCCUGCAUUUGAAACUGGAGUGCUUGAGUACGAGAGAGGCAGACGGAAUUCCUAGUGUAGCGGUGAAAUGCGUAGAUAUUAGGAGGAACACCAGUGGCGAAGGCGGUCUGCGGGACAGCAACUGACGCUGAGGCGCGAAAGCGUGGGGAGCAAACAGGAUUAGAUACCCGAGUAGUC